CGUAGGGUCCAAGCGUUAUCCGGAAUUACUGGGCGUAAAGCGUACGCAGACGGUACGUUAGGUGUGAUGCGAAAUCUUGUGGCUCAACCACAUAGACUGUGUCCCAAACCAUCGAACUAGAGGUUGGUAGAGGCAAGCGGAAUUCCCGGUGUAGCAGUGACAUGCGUAGAUAUCGGGAGGAACACCAAUGGCGAAGGCAGCUUGCUGGGCUACACCUGACGUUAAGGUACGAAAGCGUGGGGAGCGAACAGGAUUAGAUACCCUGGUAGUCCACGCCGUAAACGAUGAUCACUAUUGGUAUGGAGAUUCGACCCUCUGUGUCAAGUAGCUAACGCGAUAAGUGAUCCGCCUGGGGAGUACGAGCGCAAGCUUA
RNAcentral lists this ribosomal RNA (373 nucleotides) under uncultured organism. Its description in RNAcentral is "bacterial SSU rRNA". It matches the Rfam family "Bacterial small subunit ribosomal RNA", at positions 526 to 896 of the family's 1533-position model. The record is from RNAcentral.